CCGACGGUGAGGGGUGAAAGCUGGGGGAGCAAACCGGAUUAGAUACCCGGGUAGUCCCAGCCGUAAACGAUGUGCGUUAGGUGUAUCGGUGACCACGAGUCACCGAGGUGCCGAAGAGAAAUCGUGAAACGUACCGCCUGGGAAGUACGGUCGCAAGGCUGAAACUUAAAGGAAUUGGCGGGGGAGCACCACAACAGGUGGAGCCUGCGGUUUAAUCGGACUCAACGCCGGAAAACUCACCAGAUAAGACAGCUGAAUGAUAGUCGGGCUGAAGACUCUACUUGACUAGCUGAGAGGAGGUGCAUGGCCGUCGUCAGUUCGUACUGUGAAGCAUCCUGUUAAGUCAGGCAACGAGCGAGACCCACGCCAACAGUUGCU
RNAcentral lists this ribosomal RNA (378 nucleotides) under uncultured archaeon. RNAcentral describes it as "bacterial SSU rRNA". It matches the Rfam family "Archaeal small subunit ribosomal RNA", at positions 691 to 1068 of the family's 1478-position model. The record is from RNAcentral.